Molecule: ribosomal RNA, 303 nt
Filed under: uncultured bacterium
Lineage: Bacteria
Description: partial 16S ribosomal RNA
Rfam family: Bacterial small subunit ribosomal RNA
Source: RNAcentral
AGCAGCCGCCGCGGUAAUACGUAGGUGGCAAGCGUUGUCCGGAAUUAUUGGGCGUAAAGGGCUCGCAGGCGGUUUCUUAAGUCUGAUGUGAAAGCCCCCGGCUCAACCGGGGAGGGUCAUUGGAAACUGGGAAACUUGAGUGCAGAAGAGGAGAGUGGAAUUCCACGUGUAGCGGUGAAAUGCGUAGAGAUGUGGAGGAACACCAGUGGCGAAGGCGACUCUCUGGUCUGUAACUGACGCUGAGGAGCGAAAGCGUGGGGAGCGAACAGGAUUAGAUACCCGGGUAGUCCCUGUCUCUUAUAC